RNAcentral lists this ribosomal RNA (90 nucleotides) under Phialocephala fortinii. Its description in RNAcentral is "partial 5.8S ribosomal RNA". It matches the Rfam family "5.8S ribosomal RNA", at positions 68 to 154 of the family's 154-position model. Rfam says of the family: 5.8S ribosomal RNA (5.8S rRNA) is a component of the large subunit of the eukaryotic ribosome. It is transcribed by RNA polymerase I as part of the 45S precursor that also contains 18S and 28S rRNA. Functionally, it is thought that 5.8S rRNA may be involved in ribosome translocation. The record is from RNAcentral. Lineage: Eukaryota; Fungi; Ascomycota; Leotiomycetes; Helotiales; Mollisiaceae.
UGAAUUGCAGAAUUCAGUGAAUCAUCGAAUCUUUGAACGCACAUUGCGCCCUGUGGUAUUCCGCAGGGCAUGCCUGUUCGAGCGUCAUUU